Molecule: ribosomal RNA, 503 nt
Filed under: uncultured Acaulospora
Lineage: Eukaryota; Fungi; Glomeromycota; Glomeromycetes; Diversisporales; Acaulosporaceae
Description: SSU rRNA
Rfam family: Eukaryotic small subunit ribosomal RNA
Source: RNAcentral
AGCAGCCGCGGUAAUUCCAGCUCCAAUAGCGUAUAUUAAAGUUGUUGCAGUUAAAAAGCUCGUAGUUGAAUUUCGGGAUUCAUCCGUUGGUCGGGCUUCACGGUCCGUACUGGUGUGAUGGGUUCCUACCUUCUGAAUAACCGGCAUGCCAUUAAUUUGGUGCGCCGGGGAAGCAGAACUAUUACCUUGAAAAAAUUAGAGUGCUUAAAGCAGGCAAGUGCCUGAAUAGGUUAGCAUGGAAUAAUAAAAUAGGACGGCAUGGUUCUAUUUUGUUGGUUUCUAGGAUCACCGUAAUGAUUAAUAGGGAUAGUUGGGGGUAUUAGUAUUCAAUUGUCAGAGGUGAAAUUCUUGGAUUUAUUGAAGACUAACUUCUGCGAAAGCAUUUGCCAAGGAUGUUUUCAUUAAUCAAGAACGAAAGUUAGGGGAUCGAAGACGAUCAGAUACCGUCGUAGUCUUAACCAUAAACUAUGCCGACUAGGGAUCGGACGAUGUUAAUUUUUAAU